Molecule: ribosomal RNA, 539 nt
Filed under: uncultured organism
Description: eukaryotic LSU rRNA
Rfam family: 5.8S ribosomal RNA (bases 120-273)
Source: RNAcentral
GCGAGGGUUGCCCGUAACACGGCUCUCCUCGAAUUUCCAGGCUCUACGUCUUUUUACACACCCCAAUAGUAUGAUGCAGAAUGUAGUCAAUGGGCUUCUCAGCCUAUAAAACACUAUACAACUUUCAGCAACGGAUCUCUUGGCUCUCGCAUCGAUGAAGAACGCAGCGAAAUGCGAUAAGUAAUGUGAAUUGCAGAAUUCAGUGAAUCAUCGAAUCUUUGAACGCACCUUGCGCUCCUUGGUAUUCCGAGGAGCAUGCCUGUUUGAGUGUCAUUAAAUUCUCAACCUCACCAGUUUUCUGAACUGUUCUUCGAGGCUUGGAUGUGGGGGUUUGUGCAGGCUGCCUCACGGCGGUCUGCUCCCCUGAAAUGCAUUAGCGAGUUCAUACUGAACUUCCGUCUAUUGGUGUGAUAAUUAUCUACGCCGUGGACGAGGAUCAGACUCGCUUCUAACCGUCCGCGAGGACAAUACCUUGACAAUUUGACCUCAAAUCAGGUAGGACUACCCGCUGAACUUAAGCAUAUCAAUAAGCGGAGGAA